This 1032-nucleotide long non-coding RNA is filed under the name Phoenix dactylifera (date palm). RNAcentral's name for it is "long non-coding RNA (PDAC_LNC012550)". Lineage: Eukaryota; Viridiplantae; Streptophyta; Magnoliopsida; Arecales; Arecaceae. The record is from RNAcentral.
UCCACAAUUUAACGUCUUCCGUUUCUACCGUGUAGUCGCGAGAGGAAAAGCAGCGGGCAAGGAAAAUCCUGUUCUCACAGCAUGCUAAUAUUUUAGUCCCGGCAAUAGUGCCAUUUCUUGGCAUUUUAUCAGGUUAUUAAAGUAUGUGGGACCAAGGAAAAAACGACGGUUGUGAGGGGCCGGAAGACUUCAAUGGUCUGAUUGUCUGAUAUCUAUGGUUUUCAUUUGGGCUCAGCUGAUAUUAGUUUACGAAAGGAUUAUUGUGCUAAAUGCCUGAAAAGGGCACUGCUGAGAAGAUUUUGGCCCUUAUCUCAUCUAGACUUCGUUUUAUUUUUAACAUGAGCAAUAUUUUAUUGAUAGAAUAUUGAUGACGGACUGAUACAACUAAUAGCAGACGGAAAGGUUUUUAUUUUAUUUUAUUAUUAUUAUUUUUGUAUACAAUGGCAACUCUAUAUGAGUACAACUAAUAAAAUUAGAAAAAAAAUAUUAAUAAAGAGAUAACGGAACAAACUCGUGAUUCUCCCAAAAGAUCCCUCCCGAGUAUUGUGUAGUAAAGGAGGCAACUCAGUCAACAGCACUGUUUGCCUUCCAAUAAACAUGAAUAACCCGAAAUGAGCCACAUCCUCUCGAAAGCUUUUGUAUGUCCUAAAGCAGGCAGUUGCUCGUCGUCAUACCUGUGCCGACCUUGAAUCCAUGCUAUCACCAUAGUAGAAUUUCCUUCAAGGUAGAUGCUGUCCGCACCCAGAACUAGACUCGUAUGGGUGAUGCCUUCCUAUACAGCUCUCAGCUCUGCUCCGAUGACAGUCACGUCGAAUAUGCGUCGUUCUCCGGCUGCAACGAGUCUGAAGUCAUGACCUCUGAUCACAAAUCCCACUCCUCCUCUGCCUUCCCCCUCGGACAUACUACUGUCAAAGUUUACCUUAAGAAAGAUAGGGGGUGAGGGCUCCCAGAAGACAAAGGCAACCCUAGUCGCUGCAAAAACUGAAUGAGAGUCCCAGAUAUCCCUAACCGUCGCAAAUGAAACCACCGUGU